AAACCAACAGGGAUUGCCUUAGUAACGGCGAGUGAAGCGGCAAAAGCUCAAAUUUGAAAUCUGGCACUUUCAGUGUCCGAGUUGUAAUUUGAAGAAGGUAACUUUGGAAUUGGCCCUUGUCUAUGUUCCUUGGAACAGGACGUCACAGAGGGUGAGAAUCCCGUGCGAUGAGGUGACCAAUUCUAUGUAAAGUGCUUUCGAAGAGUCGAGUUGUUUGGGAAUGCAGCUCUAAGUGGGUGGUAAAUUCCAUCUAAAGCUAAAUAUUGGCGAGAGACCGAUAGCGAACAAGUACAGUGAUGGAAAGAUGAAAAGAACUUUGAAAAGAGAGUGAAAAAGUACGUGAAAUUGUUGAAAGGGAAGGGCUUGAGAUCAGACUUGGUAUUUUGCGUUCCCUUCCUUUUUGGUUGGGUUCCUCGCAGUUUACUGGGCCAGCAUCGGUUUGGAUGGUAGGAUAAUGACAUUGGAAUGUGGCUCUACUUCGGUGGAGUGUUAUAGACUUUGUUGAUACUACCUAUCUAGACCGAGGACUGCGUCUUUGACUAGGAUGCUGGCGUAAUGAUCUUAAGCCGCCCGU
Molecule: ribosomal RNA, 574 nt
Filed under: [Candida] anglica
Lineage: Eukaryota; Fungi; Ascomycota; Pichiomycetes; Serinales; Debaryomycetaceae
Description: partial 26S ribosomal RNA
Rfam family: Eukaryotic large subunit ribosomal RNA
Source: RNAcentral